This 530-nucleotide ribosomal RNA is filed under the name uncultured bacterium. Its description in RNAcentral is "bacterial SSU rRNA". It matches the Rfam family "Bacterial small subunit ribosomal RNA", at positions 343 to 875 of the family's 1533-position model. The record is from RNAcentral.
GGGAGGCAGCAGUGAGGAAUAUUGGUCAAUGGGCGCAAGCCUGAACCAGCCAUGCCGCGUGCAGGAUGACGGUCCUAUGGAUUGUAAACUGCUUUUGUACGGGAAGAAACACUCCGACGUGUCGGAGCUUGACGGUACCGUAAGAAUAAGGAUCGGCUAACUCCGUGCCAGCAGCCGCGGUAAUACGGAGGAUCCAAGCGUUAUCCGGAAUCAUUGGGUUUAAAGGGUCCGUAGGCGGUCUUGUAAGUCAGUGGUGAAAGCCCAUCGCUCAACGAUGGAACGGCCAUUGAUACUGCAGGACUUGAAUUAUUGGGAAGUAACUAGAAUAUGUAGUGUAGCGGUGAAAUGCUUAGAGAUUACAUGGAAUACCAAUUGCGAAGGCAGGUUACUACCAAUGGAUUGACGCUGAUGGACGAAAGCGUGGGUAGCGAACAGGAUUAGAUACCCUGGUAGUCCACGCCGUAAACGAUGGAUACUAGCUGUUGGGCGCAAGUUCAGUGGCUAAGCGAAAGUGAUAAGUAUCCCACCUG